Molecule: long non-coding RNA, 515 nt
Filed under: Oryctolagus cuniculus (rabbit)
Lineage: Eukaryota; Metazoa; Chordata; Mammalia; Lagomorpha; Leporidae
Description: lncRNA (ENSOCUG00000033504.1)
Source: RNAcentral
AUGAUACUUUCCAUCCUCCCCAACCUGCUCUCCCUCCCUCCUUCCUUUUCCACUCUCCUGCCUCCUUCCCAGAAAGCAUUUUCUAAUACAGUAGCAUACUUAGAAAAAAAUAUAUCACUUUUAUUUUCUAAGGGGACCGUGUUGUCAAAGCUAGAGCUUAAUUUUUUUUGGCCUGGAAGAGAUUUACCCUCUUUUCAAGCUGUGUCAUGGUGCUAUAUUCUCUGUCUAAUCUUGAACGUAAGGAAUGCAUCAAAGGACAAGUGGACCAAAUUCCUUCAAUGGACUCUCAGAUAUGUUCUCCAGCCACACAUUAGAGAACCCAGGACAGAGCGAGUUGGUUGUGGUGGAUCGGUUCCACUGCUGUCCCUGGAACUUGGGAGAAAGGUGCACACCACGGUAGUGUUGGAUAACCGCCCUGGUCACCAUGAUCCAGUUGCUUUGUGCUCCUUGUUCUUUCUCAACCACUGAUCCAUACCAGCUUCAAUGGUCUGAAGAAAGCAAUAAAUCAGAGUGAG